RNAcentral lists this long non-coding RNA (307 nucleotides) under Paramuricea clavata. Lineage: Eukaryota; Metazoa; Cnidaria; Anthozoa; Malacalcyonacea; Plexauridae. The record is from RNAcentral.
CAUUAUAUUUGUUUGUGUCAAUUUGUAAUUUUUGGUUCAUUCUGAACAUUAAAUAUAUUACUACCAACAAACUUUGGCUCACAGAAGUAAGAAAUUAAAACUUGUUUACGUUUUUAUUGGCUUUUUAUCACGUAUGCGUGACUGGACAGUUGCUGUGGUGCACUUACAGUAAAUUUGCUUGAUAAAGUACAGUAUAUUUGAAGAUAUGGCUGUAUAACAAUCUCAAUCCAUAUUUAAAGGCACAGUUCAGCCUUUUGAAUGAUGGCUUUUAAGGCGCAUUUCAGCCCUUUUAAUUGAAAAAACUAAC